GUUGUAUAGUUAAGUGAGAAAGCGUACAGGGCGGAUGCCUUGGCAAUCAGAGGCGAAGAAGGACGUGCUAAUCUGCGAAAAGCGUGGGUGAGUUGAUAAGAAGCGUUUAACCCACGAUGUCCGAAUGGGGAAACCCGAUAGGCGAAGAGCCUAUCAUUGCGAGGUGAAUAAAAUAGCCUCGUAAGGCGAACCGGGAGAACUGAAACAUCUAAGUACCCCGAGGAAAAGAAAUCAACCGAGAUUCUGUGAGUAGCGGCGAGCGAAAGCGGAGGAGCCAGUAAGUAAUAGCAGCAGAGAUAGAGGAAUUGUCUGGGAAGGCAAGCGACACAGGGUGAUAGCCCCGUACUUAAAAUCCAGGCUGUGGUACUAAGCUUACGAGAAGUAGGGCGGGACACGAGGAAUCCUGUCUGAAGAUGGGGGGACCAUCCUCCAAGGCUAAAUACUCCUGAUUGACCGAUAGUGAACCAGUACUGUGAAGGAAAGGCGAAAAGAACCCCGGUGAGGGGAGUGAAAUAGAACCUGAAACCCUGUACGUACAAGCAGUGGGAGCCCGCAAGGGUGACUGCGUACCUUUUGUAUAAUGGGUCAGCGACUUAUAUUUUGUAGCGAGGUUAACUGAAUAAGGGAGCCGAAGGGAAACCGAGUCUUAACUGGGCGAAGAGUUGCAAGGUAUAGACCCGAAACCCGGUGAUCUAGCCAUGGGCAGGUUGAAGGUUGGGUAACACUAACUGGAGGACCGAACCGACUAAUGUUGAAAAAUUAGCGGAUGACCUGUGGCUGGGGGUGAAAGGCCAAUCAAACCGGGAGAUAGCUGGUUCUCCCCGAAAUCUAUUUAGGUAGAGCCUUGUGUGAAUACCUUUGGGGGUAGAGCACUGUUUCGGCUAGGGGCCCAUCCCGGGUUACCAAACCGAUGCAAACUCCGAAUACCAAAGAGUAAUGCACAGGAGACACACGGCGGGUGCUAACGUCCGUCGUGGAGAGGGAAACAACCCAGACCGCCAGCUAAGGUCCCAAAAUCUAUAUUAAGUGGGAAACGAAGUGGGAAGGCUUAGACAGCUAGGAUGUUGGCUUAGAAGCAGCCACCAUUUAAAGAAAGCGUAAUAGCUCACUAGUCGAGUCGGCCUGCGCGGAAGAUGUAACGGGGCUAAAAUAUAGUACCGAAGCUGCGGCAUCAAUCGAAGGAUUGUUGGGUAGGGGAGCGUUGUGUAAGCGGAAGAAGGUGGUUCGAGAGGAUUGCUGGACGUAUCACAAGUGCGAAUGCUGACAUAAGUAACGAUAAAACGGGUGAAAAACCCGUUCGCCGGAAGACCAAGGGUUCCUGUCCAACGUUAAUCGGGGCAGGGUGAGUCGGCCCCUAAGGCGAGGCUGAAAAGCGUAGUCGAUGGGAAACGGGUUAAUAUUCCCGUACUUGGUAAAGCUGCGAUGUGGGGACGGAGAAGGUUAGGUUAUCGACCUGUUGGAGAUGGUCGUUUAAGUUGGUAGGUGGGUGAGUUAGGCAAAUCCGGCUCACCGUUAACACUGAGAGAUGAUGACGAGGCACUAAGGUGCUGAAGUAACUGAUACCACACUUCCAGGAAAAGCCACUAAGCUUCAGGCUUUACUAAACCGUACUGAAAACCGACACAGGUGGUCAGGUAGAGAAUACUCAGGCGCUUGAGAGAACUCGGGUGAAGGAACUAGGCAAAAUAGCACCGUAACUUCGGGAGAAGGUGUGCCGGCGUAGAUUGUAGUGACUUGCUCACGAAGGUUGAACCGGUCGAAGAUACCAGCUGGCUGCAACUGUUUAUUAAAAACACAGCACUCUGCAAACACGAAAGUGGACGUAUAGGGUGUGAUGCCUGCCCGGUGCUGGAAGGUUAAUUGAUGGUGUAAUCGAAAGAGAAGCUCCUGAUCGAAGCCCCAGUAAACGGCGGCCGUAACUAUAACGGUCCUAAGGUAGCGAAAUUCCUUGUCGGGUAAGUUCCGACCUGCACGAAUGGCAUAAUGAUGGCCAGGCUGUCUCCACCCGAGACUCAGUGAAAUUGAAAUCGCCGUGAAGAUGCGGUGUACCCGCGGCUAGACGGAAAGACCCCGUGAACCUUUACUAUAGCUUGACACUGAACCUUGAAUUUUGAUGUGUAGGAUAGGUGGGAGACUAUGAAGCGGUAACGCCAGUUAUCGUGGAGUCGUUGUUGAAAUACCACCCUUUAACGUUUGAUGUUCUAACGAAGUGCCUGAAACGGGUACUCGGACAGUGUCUGGUGGGUAGUUUGACUGGGGCGGUCUCCUCCCAAAGUGUAACGGAGGAGCACGAAGGUUUGCUAAUGACGGUCGGACAUCGUCAGGUUAGUGCAAUGGUAUAAGCAAGCUUAACUGCGAGACAGACAAGUCGAGCAGGUGCGAAAGCAGGUCAUAGUGAUCCGGUGGUUCUGAAUGGAAGGGCCAUCGCUCAACGGAUAAAAGGUACUCCGGGGAUAACAGGCUGAUACCGCCCAAGAGUUCAUAUCGACGGCGGUGUUUGGCACCUCGAUGUCGGCUCAUCACAUCCUGGGGCUGAAGUAGGUCCCAAGGGUAUGGCUGUUCGCCAUUUAAAGUGGUACGCGAGCUGGGUUUAGAACGUCGUGAGACAGUUCGGUCCCUAUCUGCCGUGGGCGUUGGAGAAUUGAGAGGGGCUGCUCCUAGUACGAGAGGACCGGAGUGGACGCAUCACUGGUGUACCAGUUGUCUCGCCAGAGGCAUUGCUGGGUAGCUAAAUGCGGAAGAGAUAAGUGCUGAAAGCAUCUAAGCACGAAACUUGCCUUGAGAUGAGUUCUCCCAGUCUAUAAGACUGUAAGGGUUGUUGGAGACUACGACGUAGAUAGGCUGGGUGUGUAAGCGGUGUGAGCCGUUGAGCUAACCAGUACUAAUUGCCCGAGAGGCUUAACUAUACAACGCUCAAGGGUUUUG
Molecule: ribosomal RNA, 2925 nt
Filed under: Avibacterium paragallinarum
Lineage: Bacteria; Pseudomonadati; Pseudomonadota; Gammaproteobacteria; Pasteurellales; Pasteurellaceae
Description: 23S ribosomal RNA
Rfam family: Bacterial large subunit ribosomal RNA
Source: RNAcentral